Lutra lutra (Eurasian river otter) is the source of this 986-nucleotide long non-coding RNA. RefSeq lists it as uncharacterized. The transcript has 3 exons. The record is from RefSeq and is a predicted model, not a curated record. Lineage: Eukaryota; Metazoa; Chordata; Mammalia; Carnivora; Mustelidae.
CCCCUCAACCACCUGACAUUAACUACAGCCCAGCCUUCCAUAUCUCCCAACCGAGUUGCAGGGGACGAUGGAACCCUCGCUCUUUCCCCCACCUCUCUGAGCCUUAGAAAAAGGCUGAGCCUCUGAAAACCUGAUGCUUCCCUACGGGGCAUUUCCAAACAAAUCAGCUGCAGAAAAGAAACUCAAACUCACCGCCAAGGUCAUGAAUACAGGGUGCCAGGAGAAAAGACCUAAGAAUCAAAGAGAACAGACUGACGGCUGGGCACCAGGUCUCUGCCCCUGUGGCUGGCUGGAACCCAAACAAUCCGGCUACAGGAGGCAGGUCAGUGCACUAUUCCCGCCCGAAUGAGAAACUCCGUGCAAAGCGGAGCAGCCAAUCGGGCUUACGGUGAGCAACCAAAGGGGCAAACAUACACCAGUCUGGCCUGGCUUCCCCAUCCGGCAGUUCGGCAGCUCGGAAGCUCAGCUCGCUCGGCAGCUCGCAGCUGUCAACCCAGUCCUAGGAUGGACCUUGGCCUCCUUUACUUCCAUCCUCCACGAGGGGCUCCGCUUCUGUUGUACUGAAACACUGGAUUUCUCAGCUUGCCCACGCUCUCCUGCCGUCCCUUCUUCUGGCUUGUUAAGGGAGUUAAGAGUCCUCUCUGCCUAAAAGCAAGGACACUGGAAGCAGGACAGGAGUCAUCUCUGGGAUAAAGAUUCCGGUGAGCCCUUCUUGCUCUGAGCCAUAUGCCUCAUCAUCCUCUCUGGAGAGAAGACUCCCCCAUGACACAAACUCUGGCCAUUCCCAUACCGUUUAGACAAAAAUAUAGGAGCAUAAGAGACUUCUGCAGGCAAGUGCCAGGAGCUGGAGUCUGGCUGCCUAUCAUUUCCACCUCCUGGGGUGCGGAUGGGGACAGCAAGGACACUCAUUUUAUUACAUCUUUUUCCUUCCUUUUCUCUGUUUCUGUUUUUACAUUUUCUUAGCAGCAACAGAACAGGGAGACAGU